This 398-nucleotide long non-coding RNA is filed under the name Felis catus (domestic cat). Its description in RNAcentral is "lncRNA (ENSFCAG00000042837.2)". The record is from RNAcentral. Lineage: Eukaryota; Metazoa; Chordata; Mammalia; Carnivora; Felidae.
CGUGGGGCUUGAACUCAUGAAUUAUGACAUCAUGACCUGAGCUGAAGCUGGGCACCUAACUGCCACCCAGGCUCCCUGUAGGUUGGCACAUUCUAAAAGGAAAUGCUAGACCCCCUAGCUAUGGAGGGCAUGCAAAGCUUCCAAGAUUGAAGCAAGCCUGUCUAGAGGAACGAGAGACAUUUGCAACCGAGUGCCUGCUCGUCCAGCUCACUCCGGGUGCCACGACCUUGUCGCAGCCUAUUCGCAGUCCAGAGAAACUGAAGGAAACUGAUUGCAUUAGCUCAGUCCAGCACCUUACAAUUUUUGCAACUGGUCAAAAGAAAGAGGGCUACCAUGCAGGAAUAAUUGGACCAUGCCUGGACAAGCACAAUGAGUUGGACGCAAGCCUUCAAUUCUAA